CUACGGGGUGCAGCAGUCGAGAAUCUUCGGCAAUGGACGAAAGUCUGACCGAGCGACGCCGCGUGCGGGAUGAAGGCCUUCGGGUUGUAAACCGCUGUCAGUUGGGAGGAAAUCACAUGGGGUUCUCUCCAUGUGUUGACCUAUCUUCAGAGGAAGGACGGGCUAAGUUCGUGCCAGCAGCCGCGGUAAGACGAACCGUCCAAACGUUAUUCGGAAUCACUGGGCUUAAAGGGUGCGUAGGCGGCCUUGUAAGUUGGGUGUGAAAUCCCUCGGCUCAACCGAGGAAUUGCGCCCAAUACUGCAGGGCUAGAGGGAGACAGAGGUGAGCGGAACUUGUGGUGGAGCGGUGAAAUGCGUUGAUAUCACAAGGAACACCUGUGGCGAAAGCGGCUCACUGGGUCUCUUCUGACGCUGAGACACGAAAGCUGGGGGAGCGAACGGGAUUAGAUACCCGGGUAGUC
This 461-nucleotide ribosomal RNA is filed under the name uncultured bacterium. RNAcentral describes it as "partial 16S ribosomal RNA". It matches the Rfam family "Bacterial small subunit ribosomal RNA", at positions 339 to 795 of the family's 1533-position model. The record is from RNAcentral.